This 520-nucleotide ribosomal RNA is filed under the name uncultured Glomus. Its description in RNAcentral is "SSU rRNA". It matches the Rfam family "Eukaryotic small subunit ribosomal RNA", at positions 569 to 1091 of the family's 1831-position model. Lineage: Eukaryota; Fungi; Glomeromycota; Glomeromycetes; Glomerales; Glomeraceae. The record is from RNAcentral.
AGCAGCCGCGGUAAUUCCAGCUCCAAUAGCGUAUAUUAAAGUUGUUGCAGUUAAAAAGCUCGUAGUUGAAUUUCGGGGUUAGUAGGUUGGUCAUGCCUCUGGUAUGUACUGGUCUCACUGAUUCCUCCUUCCUGAUGAGCCGUAAUGCCAUUAAUUUGGUGUUGCGGGGAAUUUGGACUGUUACUUUGAAAAAAUUAGAGUGUUUAAAGCAAGCUAACGCUUGAAUACAUUAGCAUGGGAUAAUGAAAUAGGACGUUCGAUCCUAUUUUGUUGGUUUCUAGGAUUGACGUAAUGAUUAAUAGGGAUAGUUGGGGGCAUUAGUAUUCAAUUGUCAGAGGUGAAAUUCUUGGAUUUAUUGAAGACUAACUACUGCGAAAGCAUUUGCCAAGGAUGUUUUCAUUAAUCAAGAACGAAAGUUAGGGGAUCGAAGACGAUCAGAUACCGUCGUAGUCUUAACCAUAAACUAUGCCGACUAGGGAUCGGAUGAUGUUAAUUUUUAAUGACUCAUUCGGCGCCUUAA